UACAGAGGUCCCAAGCGUUGUUCGGAUUCAUUGGGCGUAAAGGGUGCGUAGGUGGCGCCGUAAGUCAGGUGUGAAAUCUCGGGGCUUAACUCCGAAACUGCAUUUGAUACUGCGAUGCUUGAGGACUGGAGAGGAGACUGGAAUUUACGGUGUAGCAGUGAAAUGCGUAGAGAUCGUAAGGAAGGCCAGUGGCGAAGGCGGGUCUCUGGACAGUUCCUGACACUGAGGCACGAAGGCCAGGGGAGCAAACGGG
Molecule: ribosomal RNA, 253 nt
Filed under: uncultured bacterium
Lineage: Bacteria
Description: partial 16S ribosomal RNA
Rfam family: Bacterial small subunit ribosomal RNA
Source: RNAcentral